AAAACCUCUUCAUUGGCCAUAACCGAGGAGGCAGAGAGAGCUGCUAAAGAGGUCCUCUAUCCUCCUUCACCAUUUGUAACCGGGGAAGAACAGGAGAUCUUCAAAAGCCCUGGGUACCUGAGUCUGCGGGGAAAUAUUGAGAAAUGGCCAGGAUGACUCGGGCCCAGUAUCCCCUCCUGGACCUUUCUUUGAGGUCUGGAACAAACUUCUGGAGGUAACUUUGUGAAGAGAAGAGGCGUUGAUGGACCUGUACGUCGGGAUAAGGUGGAGGUCAGCCACCUAAGGGCAAAACUUCUGCCCAGUGGAGGAGGCAAAUUUGACUCCUCCAACUAUAUGACUGUCAAGAUCGCAGAGCGCCAGAUCCUUGAAGCAGUGCUGACAAUUACCGAAGUGUCCGAGGAUGAUAAUAAUAUGCUCAUCCUGUUGGGCAGUGAACUAAGACUACGCUUUACCGAGCCUUGGUACAGCAGCAGCCAAUUACAUUAAAAGUCCAGCAUAUUCAUCAUCAUGUGCUGAAACUUGAGGCUGCAAAAUCCCUGGAUACAGCUGAGGAUGCAGAAUCCCUGGACCUUAUCGAGGCAUCAGAAGCUGCAGAAUCCCUAGAUGUUGAAAACACUUGAGGCUUAAAAUGUGUUUGUGUCAUGAUCAUUGACUUUUAUUUUGAUUUUGAUUAGGUUUUGUUUUCUUAAGUUC
Molecule: long non-coding RNA, 693 nt
Filed under: Carassius auratus (goldfish)
Lineage: Eukaryota; Metazoa; Chordata; Actinopteri; Cypriniformes; Cyprinidae
Description: lncRNA (ENSCARG00000041010.1)
Source: RNAcentral